GAUGAACGCUGGCGGCGUGCUUAACACAUGCAAGUCGAACGAAGCAUUUGCGACAGAUUUCUUCGGAUUGAAGUUGCUUGUGACUGAGUGGCGGACGGGUGAGUAACGCGUGGGUAACCUGCCUCAUACAGGGGGAUAGCAGCUGGAAACGGCUGGUAAUACCGCAUAAGCGCACAGUACCACAUGGUACAGUGUGAAAAACUCCGGUGGUAUGAGAUGGACCCGCGUCUGAUUAGCUAGUUGGUGAGGUAACGGCCCACCAAGGCGACGAUCAGUAGCCGACCUGAGAGGGUGACCGGCCACAUUGGGACCGAGACACGGCCCAGACUCCUACGGGAGGCAGCAGUGGGGAAUAUUGCACAAUGGAGGAAACUCUGAUGCAGCGACGCCGCGUGAGUGAAGAAGUAGUUCGCUAUGUAAAGCUCUAUCAGCAGGGAAGAUAGUGACGGUACCUGACUAAGAAGCUCCGGCUAAAUACGUGCCAGCCGCCGCCGUAA
Molecule: ribosomal RNA, 497 nt
Filed under: uncultured bacterium
Lineage: Bacteria
Description: partial 16S ribosomal RNA
Rfam family: Bacterial small subunit ribosomal RNA
Source: RNAcentral